RNAcentral lists this small RNA (123 nucleotides) under Paenalicyclobacillus ferrooxydans. RNAcentral's name for it is "Alicyclobacillus ferrooxydans c-di-AMP sequence". It matches the Rfam family "c-di-AMP riboswitch aptamer (ydaO/yuaA leader)". Rfam says of the family: This family represents a conserved RNA structure found upstream of the ydaO and yuaA genes in Bacillus subtilis and related genes in other bacteria. The ydaO/yuaA element is thought to act as a genetic "off" switch for the ydaO and yuaA genes in its native state. It is believed that the element may be triggered during osmotic shock leading to activation of ydaO, a predicted amino acid transporter gene, and members of the yuaA-yubG operon which code for KtrA and KtrB K+ transporters. The record is from Rfam by way of RNAcentral. Lineage: Bacteria; Bacillati; Bacillota; Bacilli; Caryophanales; Alicyclobacillaceae.
CAAAAAGUAACGCCGAAUCGUAAGAACGGGGGACUUAAAGAAUUAGGGGUGAAGGAUUUAUCCAGGGCUACCUUUUCGGCCCGAACCCGUCAGCUAACCUCGUAGGCGUGCGAAAGGGAGAGC